RNAcentral lists this ribosomal RNA (116 nucleotides) under Candidatus Arthromitus sp. SFB-mouse-NYU. The record is from RNAcentral. Lineage: Bacteria; Bacillati; Bacillota; Clostridia; Eubacteriales; Clostridiaceae.
UAUAGAUCAUUGACAAUUGGAUAGGGAAAAGGAAUGAAGAGAAGAAGUCAACGUUAAUUUUGAGAGACUGGGAGAAGGAUAAGAGUUUGAUCCUGGCUCAGGACGAACGCUGGCGG